Molecule: non-coding RNA, 45 nt
Organism: Strongylocentrotus purpuratus (purple sea urchin)
Lineage: Eukaryota; Metazoa; Echinodermata; Echinoidea; Camarodonta; Strongylocentrotidae
Source: Rfam
CCAACAGUCCUUUUCAGGACUACACACAUUCAAGAAAGAUUUCCG